RNAcentral lists this ribosomal RNA (486 nucleotides) under uncultured bacterium. RNAcentral's name for it is "partial 16S ribosomal RNA". It matches the Rfam family "Bacterial small subunit ribosomal RNA", at positions 28 to 507 of the family's 1533-position model. The record is from RNAcentral.
GACGAACGCUGGCGGCGUGCUUAACACAUGCAAGUCGAACGGGCUCUGUCUGGCUGUGUGCUGGGUGGGGUUAGUGGCGAACGGGUGAGUAAUACGUGAGUAACCUGCCCUCUUCUUUGGGAUAAGCCUUGGAAACGGGGUCUAAUACUGGAUAUUCCUGUCUGGUCGCAUGGCUGGGUGGGGAAAGUUUUUUCGGUGGGGGAUGGGCUCGCGGCCUAUCAGCUUGUUGGUGGGGUGAUGGCCUACCAAGGCGUCGACGGGUAGCCGGCCUGAGAGGGUGACCGGCCACACUGGGACUGAGAUACGGCCCAGACUCCUACGGGCGGCAGCAGUGGGGGAUAUUGCACAAUGGGCGCAAGCCUGAUGCAGCGACGCCGCGUGGGGGAUGACGGCUUUCGGGUUGUAAACCUCUUUCGUCGGGGGACAAGGCUCUGCUUGGUGGUGGGGUUGAGGGUACCCGGUGAAGAAGCGCCGGCUAACUACGUG